GUGGGAGCUUCGGCGCAA
This 18-nucleotide small nuclear RNA is filed under the name Arabidopsis thaliana (thale cress). RNAcentral's name for it is "snRNA_13068". Lineage: Eukaryota; Viridiplantae; Streptophyta; Magnoliopsida; Brassicales; Brassicaceae. The record is from RNAcentral.